Molecule: long non-coding RNA, 3122 nt
Filed under: Mytilus galloprovincialis (Mediterranean mussel)
Lineage: Eukaryota; Metazoa; Mollusca; Bivalvia; Mytilida; Mytilidae
Source: RNAcentral
UUAAUACAUUGUAUUUGUAGAAUUGGGAAUCUCUUCGUGGAUGGCAUGUUUAUAGCAGUAAACCAAGACAAUUAUAUGUAAGUACAGUUUCCAUACUCUACAGUACUGAUUUUGUGUGUCUCAAUGGUUGAAUGGUACAGGAAGUUGAUUGGAAUUUAUUUGGCAGAUACAUCUACCAUUAUUAAUGAGAAUCAAGUUGUACUCAUGUCAGCUAUGUGAACAAUUAUAUUUGAAUUUAGGUGUAAUUCAAAUGUAAUUGAUUACAUUACAUUUAAUUAGCAAACUAAUAGCAAAAAGUAAAAUCACAAAAAUUCAAAACGGAAAGACCCUUGUCUAAUGGCGAAAUCAAAAGCUGAAACUCACCAAACGUAUUGAUAACAACUGUCAUAUUCCUGGCUUGAUACAGGCAUUUUCUGUAGAAAAUGGUGGAUAAAUCCUGGUUUUUAUAGGCAGGUAAAUCUCACUUGUAUGACAGUGGCAUAAAAAUCAAGUUAUUUAAUCUAUUUCAUUUUGAAGUAAUCAAUAUUACUUGCAUUAUCUCCUUUAUAAAAUCUGGAUCAAAACUUUUAUGCUUAAUGGUGAUUGUCAGAAGCUCCAGUGAACUUUUCUGCAGAAUUCUUGCAAUUAUAAUACAGACCUUUCACCUUGAGCGCAUGAUACGCCGAUCGCUUUUACAACACAUAAAGUUCUAUAACUCCUAAAUGUUACACAAAAAAUUUAUCAAAAAACUAUAAAGGGAGGUUAUUUUAAUAGAUAUAAAAAAGUCACUACAGUUUCAUGCUCAAAGCACUUUUGAGUAUUGUCUGAAAACUGGAAAUUCCUGUUAACAGGGGUAUAAAAAUUGAAAACAUUACAUAGACAUGCAUAUCAUUAUAUAUGAUAUAAAUGAUGAAAUAUUGCCUUAUAAAUCAAACAGUUGAACUUGAAAUAGAGUCCCAUAAUAAUAAAUUUAGAAUGACAAACUGGAAUAUCUUCAAAUUGGAAGGAACCUUAUAUUAUACAAUAAUUAUUUGUACCUAUCCAACCAGAUAUAAGAAGAUGUGGUAUGAGUGCCAAUGAGACAACUCUCCAUCCAAGUCACAACUUGUAAAACUAAACCAUUAUAUAGGUCAAAGUACGGUCUACAACAAGGAACAUCAAUACAAGCAUUCAUAUGUUAGUAUGUCACUUGGGGAAAAUUGCCUUAAAGAAGUUCUGACUGUCAUAGUCCUUAAAUUAUAUCACAAAAAACAGAACAUUUUUAAAAUUGAUGAUAUAUAGAUGUAAGAAGAUGUGGUAUGAGUGCCAAUGAGACACAUCUUCUUCAAAGUCACAAUUUAUACAAGUAAACAAUUACAAUAGGUCAAAGUAAGGUUUUCAACACUGAGCCUUUCGUCCCAAUUAAAAUAUAUUCAAUAUAGAAAUGUUUUUUAAUGGCAUUCUCUAGUUGUUGUAUGUUGUGUAAACGGACAGAUAGAUGAACACACCGAGAAUGAUAUACAUUAUAAUACCAUAUGUCCCAUCUAUGAAGAAAGCAAAUUAAUUAACCCAGUAAUUGUGGUAAAUUCUUUCUGAUACCAGUAUAUUAAUCCGCAUGUAUCUUUUUCAGGGACGUGAGGUACCUGUGAGAGAUCAUAAUGAUUUUGCCAACCAAGGAUUUAAGGAAAGGAAAGUACUUCUAGGAGGAAAAACUAGUUUUAACUCUGAUGUUGUCAUUUAAUUAUUGACAUAGACUAGAUUGUAUUUAAAAUUUAUAAUUGUUGAAGUAUGAGUGUACAAUUAAAGUAUGUUAUUAAAAGAUAUGCUGCAAUUCUCCUUUAUAUGAUAAGCUUUUGCAGCUUGAUAUAUUGUAUUGAUAACAGUGUAUUUUGGCAUCCAUGUAUCUUGUGUUCUUGUAUAAUUGGGUUGCUGUCUGAUCGAAGUGUCUACCCCACAUUCAUUCCAAAAUGUAUUUAUAAAAUGGGUGAUCAGAGAUUUGUUACUUUUUAUGCCCCACCUAGGGGCAUUUUUUUUCUUUGGUCUGCAUCCGUUUGUCUGUCCUGCAUCAUGUGCAUCAGGUUUAAGUUUUUGGUCAAGAUAGUUUUUGAUAAAGUUGAAGUCCAAUCAACUUGAAACUUAGUGCACAGGUUCACUAUGAUGUGAUUUUUUUACUUAAAAUUCCGAAUUUUGACCCCAAUUUCACCAUCCACUGAUCAUUGAAAAUGAUAGUGCGAGUGGGGCAUUCAUGUACUAUGGACACAUUCUUGUUAGAUUUUAUUCUUAACUGUAAAAAAUGACAAGAACAUGCUAUUAUCAAUUUCCUUGCAGAUAAAAAUGUUGCUAAAUUAAAUCAGUCUUUAACCAGAAAUAAUUAUCCAAAUACAGUAACACCACUUGGGAAAUCUAUUUUAUUAGAAUGUCAAGGAUACGUUAUCCAUAGUCAUAUACAGCUUAUGAAACCUUAAACUUACAAAAAGUAUAAAUAUAUUUAUUAAACAGCAACCCCAUGAAAGAGAAAACCAAAAGUCACACAUCUAUUGUGUAAAGUAGGUGCAAAUUUAUUUCGGUUCUUGUAGAACAUCUAGAAUUACAAUGUAACUAGAAACAGUGUUCAUAUUUGAGAUAAAAGGCACACCUCAUGCUCAUAAGCUGAUUAAUAUUACAUUGUAUUAACGUCUAUUCAGGACAUCAAUAGAAUGACAUAUAUAAUACUAGAAGGUCUACCCAUGAUGCUGAUAGGACAACCAACUAUUGGUAAUUGAAACUCCUUCAACAUGGUUUAUUGUAUUUACUUGAACCUUAUUACAUUUUUGAAUCCUGAAACAGAUGUCCAUGUGGGUAGGUUGUUUGGGUUAAUUGAGUUUUUGUCAAGCCUGCAUAUUUUGUGGCAGAAAGCUUGACAUAGGGAAAGUGUAGCGGCCGCAUUAGCAAACUUUAUAUUUUAGAAGGUUAGAGACCUGCAUGUUAUAUAAAUAUUAUUUAGAUGUCUCAUGUUAUGAAUUUUCUGUCUGUUAUAUAUGUUCAUUGUCCUUGGCCUAAUACUGAAUGCAAUAGGUCAACUAUAUUUAGUUUAUGAAAAUAUUUAACAUUGUACAUGUCAAUCUACCAUGUUUUAUUUUAAGUUGAACUCAUUUUUACGGUUACUUGCUCAAUGUGUUAGUUUU